Molecule: long non-coding RNA, 668 nt
Organism: Girardinichthys multiradiatus
Lineage: Eukaryota; Metazoa; Chordata; Actinopteri; Cyprinodontiformes; Goodeidae
Exons: 3
Source: RefSeq, a predicted model, not a curated record
CACCAGUAAAGUCCUGUCUGUGACACAUGGAUGUGUUCGUUGCUCUCAGCAACUUGAUGUGUGGGCAGGACUUCACCCUUGUACCAGAAGUAUUUCCAAGAUCGUGAUGGUUUCACCGAGCAGAUGUAAUGCUGACCCCUGAACCCAACUGGCAACGAAAAAACAAUAACAAGUUUUUUGAAUGGGCAGUCUGUUAUCUUCAUCUGUAAUGUGAGCAGAGAGGACACCUUGUCCUUGUAAAUGUCAGAUUGGCAGAAGUGCAGUAAAAAUGUCUCUAUUACUGUAUUAGAAACCUGUGAGGUGUGGGCUGUUACCUACGGAGCUGGACUCGGACAUUCUACACCUUCUACUGCUGUUUGUGAAUUUGGAUUAUUCAUCUCUGACUGUGGCACGGUUCCUAACCUUCCUAACACCUGCCUCUGUGAGAAUUCUAGACCGAACAUUGGACAAGCUAUUUGGAUUGCCUGACUCCCAAGCCCAGUGGUAUGACCCUCCUGAAUUUCUCUGCUCAAGUGAUCAAGUAAGCAAAACUUCUGGAGCUAUAUGGAUGUACUUCCGCCCCAGAUCAGAACUAACUCUUGCCUCUUUCUUCAGUGGACCCGAAAAACCUUCCAACCCUCAUUCCAGUAGAACUCACCUUGUGUGUUUAAAUAAACCUUUGAAACUUG